AGACUGACCUGGCGGAGGAGACAUCAUGAUUGUAAAGGUGGCUUUCCCAGGACGAGGCUUUCCCCGCACUCCAGAUGCGCUGGCCCUGCGAUUUCCCCAGAUGUGGGAGACGCGGCUGCAUUACGGCUGCCUAAUCUGUGGUAGUCGGGGACUGUGUCUGUGCUUUCCCCUG
This is a small nuclear RNA of Octodon degus (degu), 172 nucleotides long. RefSeq annotates it as U1 spliceosomal RNA. The record is from RefSeq and is a predicted model, not a curated record. Lineage: Eukaryota; Metazoa; Chordata; Mammalia; Rodentia; Octodontidae. The transcript has a single exon.